UACAGAGGGGGCAAGCGUUGUUCGGAAUUACUGGGCGUAAAGGGCGCGUAGGCGGCCUGCUAAGUCGAACGUGAAAUCCCUGGGCUCAACCCAGGAACUGCGUCCGAUACUGGUUGGCUUGAAUCUGGGAGAGGGAUGUGGAAUUCCAGGUGUAGCGGUGAAAUGCGUAGAUAUCUGGAGGAACACCGGUGGCGAAGGCGACAUCCUGGACCGGUAUUGACGCUGAGGCGCGAAAGCCAGGGGAGCAAACGGG
This 253-nucleotide ribosomal RNA is filed under the name uncultured bacterium. RNAcentral describes it as "partial 16S ribosomal RNA". It matches the Rfam family "Bacterial small subunit ribosomal RNA", at positions 524 to 776 of the family's 1533-position model. The record is from RNAcentral.